CUCUUAACUCAUAACCCUCUACUAGGACGAUUGGUGGAACUGCCUUUAGUCUGACUCCUGCCUUUCAACCUCAUUGGCUUGGGUAACCCUACCAUGAGUUAUACUUCAGGCAUGCUCUCAAAGUCAUAGGAUCACACUAACCCUAUUCCCGCCACAUCAAGGCGCUGCCUGACCUGCUGAGUAUUUCAGCAUUUUCUAUUUAUAUUCAUGCCUGAUCUUGCCCAAUAAAUAUAUGGAUGAAGAUGAAACUCAGAACAUCAAACUGCACUUCUGUUCUCCCAUGGAACUUAUUAAAAUGAAGGCCUAGAUUUUCCAGCCAGCAGGUCCACUGCCAGUUAUAAAGUUGUCCACAGGCUCAGCCAAACAUACUGCCUCAAGGUACAAGUAUUCUUCUCAUCAAAACAAGGAUGUUCAUGGACCAUUUUGAAAUAUGAGGCAUCUCUGCAACUGAAUCAAACAGCAAAUGGCCAUUUGCCUGAGGCACUGGAGGACUACUUGUUCUCGAAGAAUUGUACCCAAGCAACAGCCUCAGCUUCAGGAAGGCAGAAACCAAAGAAAACAAAGUUUAUUGGUUGGGCAAAGAAGAGUUGGACAGACGACAAAGAAGUACGUGCAGAAAAACUGAGAAAGAGAAAAUGAAGGGCUUGAGAUGGAGAGAAAAACAUGCUGAUGUUGUCUAUAAACC
Long non-coding RNA from Carcharodon carcharias (great white shark), 685 nucleotides. RefSeq lists it as uncharacterized. NCBI's taxonomy places the organism in Eukaryota, Metazoa, Chordata, Chondrichthyes, Lamniformes, Lamnidae. The transcript is spliced from 4 exons. The record is from RefSeq and is a predicted model, not a curated record.